RNAcentral lists this long non-coding RNA (2229 nucleotides) under Sus scrofa (pig). Its description in RNAcentral is "lncRNA (ENSSSCG00050055615.1)". Lineage: Eukaryota; Metazoa; Chordata; Mammalia; Artiodactyla; Suidae. The record is from RNAcentral.
UGUUUUGCUGGGACCAAAGGAUUUGGGCACAGACUGGAUCUACCUGAAAUCUACCUAAAUCCUCCUGAAAAUGGAUAUCUUCCCAUUGUGAUUGGGACCUCAGCCAUCAGUGUUCUCCCUCUCUUCCUCCUCUUCCUCCUCCUCUGCCAUUGCUGGUGUCGAGCCAAACACAGUGGUGUCUCAGUGGAUAUCGCCUCUGAGGGGGACAGACAGAUGGACAUGGAGGCCCUCCCAGAGGAAGACCCACAGGACGUGAUCUCUGUUCAGCAACACUGAGAUUCCCUGAUGGGGAGUGUGGAUUCAGAGUUCUCCUGCACCCUUGAGGAAUCCUUGUGAUAGCCCUGUGUGUAUAUCACCCUCCCCUGGUCUUGAGUGCAGAGCCAGAACUGGCCAUGUGGACUCCAGCGCUUAAGGGCCCCUUAAGGAAGAUGCGGCGUCCCACUCGUGUCCCCCACAGCAGCAGCAUCUUGGAGCUCCCCAAAGACUCAAGAAUAGAGAAGCCUUGUCACCUGUCAAGAAAUUCUGGGAUGCAUCGCAUCCCUCAACCGAUUCCUGGUUCCUUCUGUUUUUAUCCCCUCAUUUGCUUAUUUAACAGAUAUUCGCAGAAGUUGACUCUUCCUUUGCACCUGUGCUGAGGAGGGACAGAUCAGUAGGACACAGCUCCUGGUCUUAAGGAGUGCCUGGCCUCCUGAGAGAGGCAAACCUUAUGAUCGCUUGGACCCUUAGAAAGCAAAGAGGGGGUGAGCUACUGGAGCAGGGGAAGGAUGAUGUGGGCGACACAGGAAUACUCAUCCGGGUGCAUUUAAGGAGGACCCACAGGUACCCAACGCAAGGAGAAGUCAAGAAGACAUAGGAGUCAAACUGGGCGGGAGGGAGUUCCUGGUGGCAUUUUGCUCCAAUGCUCUAGGUUUUGUGUGAGCUGAAGCCUUCAGAGCAGCAAAAGGCGAACAAGAAAGAUUCUUUGUAAAGGAACCAAAUUGCAACUAUUUGACCAGAAGAAGGAUUUCUCUUGGGGAGGGGAAUGGUGCAGAGGGUGUUUGGGGGGGGUAUGGUUUCCCUCUAGUUUUGGUGAAUUUCACUUUUUAGUUAUGCAAUGAAAAGAAAUAGAAUACAAUAUAACGAGAUGGGAGUGGCAGGAGAGGAAUUGGAGUUGGUAUUAAAGUAGAUGCGAAUGAUUACAUUUGAGAUGGAUGAGCAGUGAGGUCCUACAGUACAGCACAGGGGACUCUGUCCAGUCUCUUGGGAGAGACUAUGAUGGAAGAUAAUAGGAGAAAAAGAAUUUGUGUGACUGGGGCACUCUGCUGCACAGCAGAAAUUGGCACAACACUGUAAUAAAAAACCAAAAAAAAUACAAAAAAAUUCAGUUCAGUUUUGGCACCAGGACGUAGAGAAGAAAGUUAAUGGCAGGGCCAGUGAAAUACAGCACAGUGGUUUGGAGUGGAGAGUAGGAGUAAGAGAGGGAAAUCGAGCAUGCGUGUUGAUUGAUGGAAAGAAAUAUGGGGAGCGCAUAAUGUGGAUGAUAUUGGGGAGUGACCAUCAGUGGGACAGGGUAGCAUUGAGAGCCCCGACUCGGGAAUAGAUGGGUUAACCUGGGUUCAGAUUUCUCCUUCUGUACCCACUUGCUGCACGGUCACGCACACACUUCAAAAUGAUUCUCUGAGCCAGAAGGACACUUGUCAUUGAUGGAGGAGGAAAUCCAAGCUCAUGCGAGCACGGGCUAAGAUGCAAUCUUUUCGGAAUUAGAGAAAUAAAGAUUCCAACAACGACAUGCCGUUGCUUCCCUUCCAUCUGCUAUGAUGGAAUUGCGGCCACCUCCAAACUCCUAUGUCAAAUGUCGCAACCCCCAGGACCUCAGAAUGGGGCCUUCUUUGGAAAUGAGGUCAUCGCAAGUGUGCUUACCCAGGAUGAAGACAUACUGGAGCAGGACGGCUUCUCACCCAGCAUGACUUGUGUCCUUAUUUAAAAACAAGGAAACGAUGGAGUUCCUGUUGUGGUGCAGCGGAAAUGAAUCUGACCGGAACCAUGAGGUUGCAGGUUCCAUCACUGUGUCCUCGCUCCGUGGGUUAAGGAUCUGGUGUUGCCGUGAGCCGUGGUGCAGGUCGGAGACGUGGCUUGGAUCCCGCGUUGCCGUGGCUAUGGCGUAGGCUGGCGGGGGCAGCUCUGAUUCUACCCCUAGCCUAGGAACCUCCAUAUGCCGCGGGGGAGGCCCUAAAAAGAAAAAAAAAAAAA